CUCCUCUUAGUGUAGUUGGUUAUCACGCUCGACUGUAAUAUUGCAUUGUCUUCGAGAGGUCGGUCGGUUCGAAUCCACCAGAGGAGA
RNAcentral lists this transfer RNA (87 nucleotides) under Ophiobolus disseminans. It matches the Rfam family "tRNA". From Rfam's summary of the family: Transfer RNA (tRNA) molecules are approximately 80 nucleotides in length. The record is from Rfam by way of RNAcentral. Lineage: Eukaryota; Fungi; Ascomycota; Dothideomycetes; Pleosporales; Phaeosphaeriaceae.